Molecule: ribosomal RNA, 253 nt
Filed under: uncultured bacterium
Lineage: Bacteria
Description: partial 16S ribosomal RNA
Rfam family: Bacterial small subunit ribosomal RNA
Source: RNAcentral
UACGGAGGGGGCCAGCGUUGUUCGGAAUCAUUGGGCGUAAAGGGCGCGUAGGCGGCUUUGUAAGUCCGUUGUGAAGUCCCUCGGCUCAACCGAGGAACUGCGACGGAUACUGCUUGGCUUGAGUCCCGGAGAGGGUAGCGGAAUUCCCAGUGUAGCGGUGAAAUGCGUAGAUAUUGGGAGGAACAUCGGUGGCGAAGGCGGCUACCUGGACGGGUACUGACGCUGAGGCGCGAAAGCUAGGGGAGCAAACAGG